AACGUAGGUGGCAAGCGUUAUCCGGAAUUACUGGGCGUAAAGGGUGCGUAGGCGGGUCUUUAAGUCAGGGGUGAAAUCCUGGAGCUCAACUCCAGAACUGCCUUUGAUACUGAGGAUCUUGAGUUCGGGAGAGGUGAGUGGAACUGCGAGUGUAGAGGUGAAAUUCGUAGAUAUUCGCAAGAACACCAGUGGCGAAGGCGGCUCACUGGCCCGAUACUGACGCUGAGGCACGAAAGCGUGGGGAGCAAACAGG
Molecule: ribosomal RNA, 253 nt
Filed under: uncultured bacterium
Lineage: Bacteria
Description: partial 16S ribosomal RNA
Rfam family: Bacterial small subunit ribosomal RNA
Source: RNAcentral